AUUGUCAAUCAAAGCUACCAGUUUCAAACCAUUUUCAAGUAAAAAGAAAUCUGUAUAGCUACAAAGAUGGCAAUGGAUCUAACAUUGUUUUACAAGUAAUAUUUUCCUGUCUCCAUAUACCGCAAGCUUAUGAUUGGUCAGGAAUUAGAGUAGUAUAAAAUAAAAGGUAUCCUUAUCAAAUACACUGAAAAGAAGUGAAUUAUGUACGUUUGAGGUCCAAACUUCCCAGUCCAGAUUAACAUAGUUUUGAGCCCAUAACAA
This 261-nucleotide unclassified non-coding RNA is filed under the name Hevea brasiliensis (rubber tree). The record is from RNAcentral. Lineage: Eukaryota; Viridiplantae; Streptophyta; Magnoliopsida; Malpighiales; Euphorbiaceae.